RNAcentral lists this small RNA (28 nucleotides) under Bombyx mori (domestic silkworm). RNAcentral describes it as "piRNA piR-bmo-1582452". Lineage: Eukaryota; Metazoa; Arthropoda; Insecta; Lepidoptera; Bombycidae. The record is from RNAcentral.
GCACUAGGAACGGCCUGAACCUCAAACU